CCUCCUUCCUCGAUAAACUGAUUUUUUAAGAAUUUAUCAUGAUGACUCAUAAUCAUAUUAUGACCUUGUGGAAGAUAAAAAUAAUAUCCUAUGGUUUCUUUCAAAUAUCCUAUAAAAUGAGCCAUAACAGAUCUAUCCUCUAAUUUAUUAGCCAUCUAUUUUUUGAUAUAGGUUGGACAUCCUCAAGUCUUAAGAUAAUCUAGACUUGAUUUUUUAUCAUGUC
Molecule: long non-coding RNA, 223 nt
Filed under: Elaeis guineensis (African oil palm)
Lineage: Eukaryota; Viridiplantae; Streptophyta; Magnoliopsida; Arecales; Arecaceae
Description: long non-coding RNA (EGUI_LNC041894)
Source: RNAcentral